RNAcentral lists this ribosomal RNA (1171 nucleotides) under uncultured Bifidobacterium sp. Its description in RNAcentral is "bacterial SSU rRNA". It matches the Rfam family "Bacterial small subunit ribosomal RNA", at positions 173 to 1357 of the family's 1533-position model. Lineage: Bacteria; Bacillati; Actinomycetota; Actinomycetes; Bifidobacteriales; Bifidobacteriaceae. The record is from RNAcentral.
UGCUCCAGUCCAUCGCAUGGUGGUCUGGGAAAGAUUUUAUCGGUAUGGGAUGGGGUCGCGUCCUAUCAGGUAGUCGGCGGGGUAACGGCCCACCAUGGCCUCGACGGGUAGCCGGCCUGAGAGGGUGACCGGCCACAUUGGGACUGAGAUACGGCCCAGACUCCUACGGGAGGCAGCAGUGGGGAAUAUUGCACAAUGGGCGGAAGCCUGAUGCAGCAACGCCGCGUGCGGGAUGACGGCCUUCGGGUUGUAAACCGCUUUCGCCUGUGACGAAGCGUGAGUGACGGUAAUGGGUAAAGAAGCACCGGCUAACUACGUGCCAGCAGCCGCGGUGAUACGUAGGGUGCGAGCGUUGUCCGGAUUUAUUGGGCGUAAAGGGCUCGUAGGUGGUUGAUCGCGUCGGAAGUGUAAUCUUGGGGCUUAACCCUGAGCGUGCUUUCGAUACGGGUUGACUUGAGGAAGGUAGGGGAGAAUGGAAUUCCUGGUGGAGCGGUGGAAUGCGCAGAUAUCAGGAGGAACACCAGUGGCGAAGGCGGUUCUCUGGGCCUUUCCUGACGCUGAGGAGCGAAAGCGUGGGGAGCGAACAGGCUUAGAUACCCUGGUAGUCCACGCUGUAAACGGUGGAUGCUGGAUGUGGGGACCAUUCCACGGUCUCCGUGUCGGAGCCAACGCGUUAAGCAUCCCGCCUGGGGAGUACGGCCGCAAGGCUAAAACUCAAAGAAAUUGACGGGGGCCCGCACAAGCGGCGGAGCAUGCGGAUUAAUUCGAUGCAACGCGAAGAACCUUACCUGGGCUUGACAUGUUCCCGACAGCCGUAGAGAUACGGUUUCCCUUCGGGGCGGGUUCACAGGUGGUGCAUGGUCGUCGUCAGCUCGUGUCGUGAGAUGUUGGGUUAGGUCCCGCAACGAGCGCAACCCUCGCCCUGUGUUGCCAGCGGGUUAUGCCGGGAACUCAUGUGGGACCGCCGGGGUCAACUCGGAGGAAGGUGGGGAUGACGUCAGAUCAUCAUGCCCCUUACGUCCAGGGCUUCACGCAUGCUACAAUGGCCGGUACAACGCGAUGCGACACGGUGACGUGGGGCGGAUCGCUGAAAACCGGUCUCAGUUCGGAUCGCAGUCUGCAACUCGACUGCGUGAAGGCGGAGUCGCUAGUAAUCGCGGAUCAGCAACGC